Molecule: unclassified non-coding RNA, 391 nt
Filed under: soil metagenome
Description: partial contains 5.8S ribosomal RNA, internal transcribed spacer 2, and large subunit ribosomal RNA
Rfam family: 5.8S ribosomal RNA (bases 1-122)
Source: RNAcentral
GAUGAAGAACGUAGCGAAAUGCGAUACUUGGUGUGAAUUGCAGAAUCCCGUGAACCAUCGAGUCUUUGAACGCAAGUUGCGCCCGAAGCCAUUAGGCCGAGGGCACGCCUGCCUGGGCGUCACACGUCGUUGCCCCCCCAUCUACUCCUUCGGGAUUGCGGGGGGCGGAUGAUGGCCUCUCGUGCGCCUCGUCGCGCGGUUGGCCUAAAUGCCAAGUCCUCGGCGACGCACGCCACGACAAUCGGUGGUUGCGAAACCUCGGUUGCCUGUCGUGUGCGGUCGUCGCGCAUCGAGGGCUCGAAAAAAUUGCCGAGUUCCGGCUCGGCUUUCAACGCGACCCCAGGUCAGGCGGGGUUACCCGCUGAAUUUAAGCAUAUCAAUAAGCGGAGGA